This 496-nucleotide ribosomal RNA is filed under the name uncultured bacterium. Its description in RNAcentral is "partial 16S ribosomal RNA". It matches the Rfam family "Bacterial small subunit ribosomal RNA", at positions 28 to 507 of the family's 1533-position model. The record is from RNAcentral.
GAUGAACGCUGGCGGCGUGCCUAAUACAUGCAAGUCGAGCGAACGGACGAGAAGCUUGCUUCUCUGAUGUUAGCGGCGGACGGGUGAGUAACACGUGGAUAACCUACCUAUAAGACUGGGAUAACUUCGGGAAACCGUAGCUAAUACCGGAUAAUAUUUUGAACCGCAUGGUUCAAAAGUGAAAGACGGUCUUGCUGUCACUUAUAGAUGGAUCCGCGCUGCAUUAGCUAGUGGGUAAGGUAACGGCUUACCAAGGCAACGAUGCAUAGCCGACCGGAGAGGGGAAUGGCCCCCCCGGAACCUGGGCCCCGGCCAGAAUUCGGGGGGAGGCAGCAGUAGGGAAUCUUACGCAAUGGGCGAAAGCCUGACGGAGCAACGCCGCGUGAGUGAUGAAGGUCUUCGGAUCGUAAAACUCUGUUAUUAGGGAAGAACAUAUGUGUAAGUAACUGUGCACAUCUUGACGGUACCUAAUCAGAAAGCCACGGCUAACUACGUG